Long non-coding RNA from Solanum lycopersicum (tomato), 736 nucleotides. RefSeq lists it as uncharacterized. NCBI's taxonomy places the organism in Eukaryota, Viridiplantae, Streptophyta, Magnoliopsida, Solanales, Solanaceae. The record is from RefSeq and is a predicted model, not a curated record.
GAUGAAAAAGGUUCUUGGAUUUAUUUUCUCUUUUACAAAGGAGCUGAAAUAAAAUUAAAAGUAAGCAAUAAAUAUGCACUUAUAUCUAAGAGAGAAAAGAUGAAAAACGUUCUUGUAUUUACUUUCUCUUCUAGAAAGGAGCUGACAAAACAUUAAAAGUAAAUAGGGGCCUACAAUAUUAAAUGUUAACUUAAAUAUUCACUUAUAUCUAAGAAAGAGAAGAUGAAGGGUUUCUUUUGACUUCUUCAAAAGGGCUGAAAAAUAAAAUAAAAAAGGUGAACAAGUUUCUUUUCUCUUCUUCAAAGGACAAAAAAAUAUGAAAAAUUAUCUACAUUCGAAGGAGAAAAAAAUCAGAAGUAUCUACAUAUGUUUUCCAGGAACUUUCUAUCAAGCAUGAAGAUCAUUUAUGAUAACAAUGAAUGAUGCACAAAAGUUUACAUAGAUAAUCGUGUCACACAAUCUUGAGCAUUUUGAAAAAGAUAAUGCAACAUUCUAUUUUCAAGAUAUGUAUAAAAUAUAUUUAUCUAUAUGUAAAAUGAGGAUUAUCAAUAAACAACUUUUUAUUUUAUUUAAAGUUUUCGUAAAAAAAUGUAAUAUCAUUGGACAAAUAAAAGAAUUUUGAGAGCAAAAAUAGUAAAAGAAAUGGUUCAUAGAUAUGUAUAUUUUGUAACCUUACUUGAACAAAAUUUAAACGAGAAUAAAGGAUCAUAGAUGGUGUAAUUUUAUUUUAGAGCAA